RNAcentral lists this ribosomal RNA (253 nucleotides) under uncultured bacterium. RNAcentral's name for it is "partial 16S ribosomal RNA". It matches the Rfam family "Bacterial small subunit ribosomal RNA", at positions 524 to 776 of the family's 1533-position model. The record is from RNAcentral.
UACGUAGGGUGCAAGCGUUAAUCGGAAUUACUGGGCGUAAAGCGUGCGCAGGCGGUGAUGUAAGUCAGAUGUGAAAUCCCCGGGCUCAACCUGGGACCUGCAUUUGUGACUGCAUCGCUAGAGUACGGUAGAGGGGGAUGGAAUUCCGCGUGUAGCAGUGAAAUGCGUAGAUAUGCGGAGGAACACCGAUGGCGAAGGCAAUCCCCUGGACCUGUACUGACGCUCAUGCACGAAAGCGUGGGGAGCAAACAGG